This is a non-coding RNA of Pelobates cultripes (western spadefoot toad), 478 nucleotides long. The record is from the annotation of a GenBank genome assembly. Lineage: Eukaryota; Metazoa; Chordata; Amphibia; Anura; Pelobatidae.
CCCCGAACACAUGGAGUACAUUCCUUAUAUAGCACUAUAGCUCCUCCCAUAAAUAGCUACACCCACACAUACCCUCAACCAAUCAAUGAACAGAGUCUAAACUUGCACAUCCGGUCUGACCACGUGGCUCAUACGAAACAAAGGGGAAGGGAGUGUGAUUUCAGUUCGUACAUUCCUGCACAUGCUCAGUACACGGAUGACAGUAUCUUAGCUACGUGCAACUAACUAACUGAUACUACAAACACAUGUACCUACAUAUGCCAUGUGGCAAUCUUGGCCUACUAAACUUUUAUUUUACUGGAAUUCCAUCACACCUACACAUUUCACCAAGCAUGUGAGGACUGCCCCUUUAAAGUAGAUGAUCAAAGGCAAUUAAUCCAAAAAUGCACUAAACUGAAAAUCAGUUUCAACAGAACUAGAUGUCCCUAUACACCCGAUCUUCAGACCUUGUAUUACUAGUAAAAAUAAAUGUUCUUCC